AAGAGCUGACGUGUGCAGAAGUCCUUCUUGUUCUGGUCCUUGUUCCCGUCUGAGUACCAGCUCCCCAUUGCCCUGAGGGCCAGCGGGCCUGCGGCAGAGGGAAGGAGGAGAAGAAGGAAAUUGUCCCGGAUUCUUGCAGUCUUUCCGUAGGUUGUGGCACUACGCCAGGCAAGAGAAGAGGAAGGAAAUUAACCCCAAUCGGUGAAGGUCGAUUUGAGGGUCUGCUGUAGCAGGUGGCACCACUUGAAGAGAGGGAGGAAGUUUCCUCGGAUCAGUAGAGAUUAGGAGGGUUGUUGGGCGUGGCACACCUCUAGGGGAGGGAAGAAGGGACAAACUGCCUGUCUGGAGGAGGUACACCUCCAGUAUCAGCUACUGUGGCCUUGACGUGGCUGAAGACGAUCACCUUCCACAGGCCUGCACGCAGGCCCAUAGCCCUCCUCUCCCAGCCUGACUGAAUACUCUCUUCCUUGGUCCCUG
This 477-nucleotide long non-coding RNA is filed under the name Neogale vison (American mink). RNAcentral's name for it is "Neovison vison (American mink) lncRNA (ENSNVIG00000014658.1)". Lineage: Eukaryota; Metazoa; Chordata; Mammalia; Carnivora; Mustelidae. The record is from RNAcentral.